Molecule: ribosomal RNA, 370 nt
Filed under: uncultured cyanobacterium
Lineage: Bacteria; Bacillati; Cyanobacteriota
Description: bacterial SSU rRNA
Rfam family: Bacterial small subunit ribosomal RNA
Source: RNAcentral
CGCAAGCCUGACGGAGCAAGACCGCGUGAGGGAGGAAGGCUCUUGGGUUGUAAACCUCUUUUAUCAGGGAAGAAGAUCUGACGGUACCUGAUGAAUCAGCAUCGGCUAACUCCGUGCCAGCAGCCGCGGUAAUACGGAGGAUGCAAGCGUUAUCCGGAAUUAUUGGGCGUAAAGCGUCCGUAGGUGGUUUUAAAAGUCUGUUGUCAAAUCGCGAGGCUUAACCUCGUACAGGCAGUGGAAACUAUAAGACUAGAGUGCGGUAGGGGUAGAGGGAAUUUCCAGUGUAGCGGUGAAAUGCGUAGAUAUUGGAAAGAACACCGGUGGCGAAGGCGCUCUACUGGGCCACAACUGACGCUGAUGGACGAAAGCU